UAUUUAAAUAGCUUAAAAAGAGCAUAAUAUUGAAGAUAUUAAGGUGAUUAAUUAAAUCUUUAGAUAU
RNAcentral lists this transfer RNA (67 nucleotides) under Nymphalis c-aureum. RNAcentral's name for it is "Polygonia c-aureum tRNA-Phe". Lineage: Eukaryota; Metazoa; Arthropoda; Insecta; Lepidoptera; Nymphalidae. The record is from RNAcentral.